Molecule: ribosomal RNA, 253 nt
Filed under: uncultured bacterium
Lineage: Bacteria
Description: partial 16S ribosomal RNA
Rfam family: Bacterial small subunit ribosomal RNA
Source: RNAcentral
UACGAAGGGGGCUAGCGUUGCUCGGAAUCACUGGGCGUAAAGGGCGCGUAGGCGGAUCUUUAAGUCGGGGGUGAAAGCCCAGGGCUCAACCCUGGAAUUGCCUUCGAUACUGGAGAUCUUGAGACCGGAAGAGGUAAGUGGAACUGCGAGUGUAGAGGUGAAAUUCGUAGAUAUUCGCAAGAACACCAGUGGCGAAGGCGGCUCACUGGUCCGGUACUGACGCUGAGGUGCGAAAGCGUGGGGAGCAAACAGG